RNAcentral lists this transfer RNA (72 nucleotides) under Pediastrum duplex. RNAcentral describes it as "tRNA-Leu". It matches the Rfam family "tRNA". From Rfam's summary of the family: Transfer RNA (tRNA) molecules are approximately 80 nucleotides in length. Lineage: Eukaryota; Viridiplantae; Chlorophyta; Chlorophyceae; Sphaeropleales; Hydrodictyaceae. The record is from RNAcentral.
GGGGGUAUAACUCAGCGGUAGAGUGGAUCAUUCUAAAUGAUUAUGUCGUCAGUUCAAAUCUGUCUACCUCCA